Molecule: transfer RNA, 70 nt
Filed under: Menida lata
Lineage: Eukaryota; Metazoa; Arthropoda; Insecta; Hemiptera; Pentatomidae
Description: tRNA-Ala
Rfam family: tRNA
About the family: Transfer RNA (tRNA) molecules are approximately 80 nucleotides in length. Their secondary structure includes four short double-helical elements and three loops (D, anti-codon, and T loops).
Source: RNAcentral
GGGGUCGUAGUUAAAAUAUUAUAACACUUAAUUUGCAAUUAAAAAUUAUUAAAAUAAUUAAUCUACCUCA